AGUUGGUCCGAGUGCAGUGGUGUUUACAAAUAAUUGAUCACAACUAGUUACAGAUUCCUUUGUUCCUUCUCCACUCUCACUGCUUCACUUGACCAGCCUUAA
RNAcentral lists this Y RNA (102 nucleotides) under Prolemur simus (greater bamboo lemur). Its description in RNAcentral is "Y RNA (ENSPSMG00000016763.1)". It matches the Rfam family "Y RNA". Rfam says of the family: Y RNAs are components of the Ro ribonucleoprotein particle (Ro RNP), in association with Ro60 and La proteins. The Y RNAs and Ro60 and La proteins are well conserved, but the function of the Ro RNP is not known. In humans the RNA component can be one of four small RNAs -- hY1, hY3, hY4 and hY5. The record is from Rfam by way of RNAcentral. Lineage: Eukaryota; Metazoa; Chordata; Mammalia; Primates; Lemuridae.